Molecule: ribosomal RNA, 253 nt
Filed under: uncultured bacterium
Lineage: Bacteria
Description: partial 16S ribosomal RNA
Rfam family: Bacterial small subunit ribosomal RNA
Source: RNAcentral
GACAGAGGUGCCAAGCGUUAGGCGGAAUCACUGGGCUUAAAGCGUGUGUAGGCGGAUUCCUAAGUACCUUGUGAAAUCCCACGGCUCAACCGUGGAACUGCUCGGUAUACUGGGUGUCUUGAGCCACUUAGGGGCGACCGGAACAAAUGGUGGAGCGGUGAAAUGCGCAGAUAUCAUUUGGAACGCCAAUGGUGAAAACAGGUCGCUGGGAGUGUGCUGACGCUGAGACACGAAAGCCAGGGGAGCAAACGGG